AUUUAAAUACAUCUUAUGUUGAGGUUCAAC
Clostridium autoethanogenum DSM 10061 is the source of this 30-nucleotide non-coding RNA. NCBI's taxonomy places the organism in Bacteria, Bacillati, Bacillota, Clostridia, Eubacteriales, Clostridiaceae. The record is from Rfam.